RNAcentral lists this ribosomal RNA (460 nucleotides) under uncultured bacterium. RNAcentral's name for it is "partial 16S ribosomal RNA". It matches the Rfam family "Bacterial small subunit ribosomal RNA", at positions 338 to 795 of the family's 1533-position model. The record is from RNAcentral.
CCUACGGGUGGCUGCAGUGAGGAAUAUUGGUCAAUGGGCGCGAGCCUGAACCAGCCAAGUAGCGUUAAGGAUGACUGCCCUACGGGUUGUAAACUUCUUUUAUCAAGGAAUAAAGUGAGGCAAGUGUGCCUUUUUGUAUGUACUUUAUGAAUAAGGAUCGGCUAACUCCGUGCCAGCAGCCGCGGUAAUACGGAGGAUCCGAGCGUUAUCCGGCGUUAUUGGGUUGAAAGGGAGCGUAGAUGGGUUGUUAAGUCAGUUGUGAAAGUUUGAGGCUCAACCGUAAAAUUGCAAUUUAUACUGGCAGCCUUGAGUACAGUUGAGGUAGGCGGAAUUCGUGGUGUAGCGGUGAAAUGCUUAGAUAUCACGAAGAACUCCGAUUGCGAAGGCAGCCUACUAAACUGCCACUGACAUUGAUGCUCGAAAGUGUGGGUAUCAAACAGGAUUAGAUACCCCGGUAGUC